RNAcentral lists this ribosomal RNA (112 nucleotides) under uncultured eukaryote. RNAcentral's name for it is "partial small subunit ribosomal RNA". It matches the Rfam family "Eukaryotic small subunit ribosomal RNA", at positions 1676 to 1785 of the family's 1831-position model. The record is from RNAcentral.
UCGCUACUACCGAUUGAAUGGCUUAGUGAGCUCCACGGACUAGCCUGUUGUGUUGGGUUUCCUUCAUUUCAGAUUGGGAAGUGGAUCAAACUUGAUCAUUUAGAGGAAGUAA